CGUAAAUUAACAGACCCCCCGCCCCCAAAAAAUUCCACAAUGGAAAUAUAGCAGGUCGAGACAGACGUGCACGGCUAGGAAGGAAGGAAAAGUGAAAGCGUCUUCCAACUCGGGGGCUGCCCCCAACUCUCCGCUUACAGCCGCGGAGGACACCGAAGGCCGUUAUCGAGCGUCUGCUGGGUGCCAGGUUCUGAGCCCGACACUUCCCGAAGGUCACGGCUACACACCUUACGCCGGAGCGCACCCCAGUGCAAGUCACCUGUUCGCAGCCGGUCGGAGCCUGCGGUGUGGCCUCCGGAGCCUCCUAGGAACCGGUCCUUGCACGAUUCGGAAGGACGCCGUUUCGACGCAAGACCCAUUACCGAGCUUUACCUGCAGUACCUGGGGAGGCAGAGAUGGGCAGCGUUUGAUGUUAAGGCUCCUGGGCGCUGUGUCGAGAAGGCAGGCUUUGGAGCUAGGCACACCUUGUUCAACUUCCAGCAGAUACUUCUCCCUGCGGUGUGGGCCUGGGCACCGCGGGGGAACCCACUUGUAAGAUGGGAGAGUGAGUGAUACAGACCUACCCCAGGGCUGUUAUAAGAAACAGAAUGUGUAGGGAGCACCUAGUCAAGGACCUGGCUGGGGAGGUACUCAGCGAAUGGUGGUCAUUUUUAUCUUUCUCAACAUUGUUAUCCUUAUUCAUAUCCAUAUUUCAUCCUUGCGCAAGCUUUCAAAAAUCCCUGCUGUGUGCCAAGUCCUGUGCUAUAUAUUGCAGAUGCAGAGAUUAAUAAAUACACCUUUAAUAAAUUAAAGCAGAUGCUCCCCACUCAAGGUGUGACUCCUGGAUCACAAACUCUUGGCAAAACAAAAUGUCCAGGCAUUGUUGCCAAGUGACACUGGCUGCUGUCUCGCUAAGUCUAAGUACAGGUUGCAUGGUGGGGGAGGGGGGUGAAGCCUUCCUAGGUAGAUUCCUUGAUUCCCAGUUGUGAACUCACCAAGAACAGGUGCUAUGUCUGAUUGGCUUUCUUACCUCCCAAGUCCAGGACCACACCUUUCAUCCAUGUAUUUGUUCAUUCAAUAAAUAUUUGAAUGACUCCACAUAAAUAUGAAUUUGCAUCCCCGAUCCAGGGUCUGUAACAGAGGAAAACAUCCAGCUCUCCUCAAGUGUACCAGCUUAAUUCAUCCAGCCCAUAUUGGCACCAUGCUCAGAAAGUACCUGCCUCCUAAAAAAUCAGCACAAUACUAAAAUCGUGUUCAACAGAGUAGAAUGUUCAUUCAUUUCAUGAACAUUUAUAGAACACUGUGAGCCAGGCAUGGCCUAGGUUUGGGGAACACAGGACUGCGAAAGACAUCAAUUCACAGCCUGGAGGGGAGAAGAGAAACAGACUAUUACAAUGUCUGUCCUAUAAACAGCGUGUGACUUGGUGCCUUGGGACUGCAGAGGAAGGAGGAACCAACUCUCCAUUUGGCAUCACAGGGGCUUCACAGAGGGAUAACAUCUGAGCUGGGUCUCAGGAUGAGCAGUUUUCCAAGCAGAGAAGGGAGAAGCCCAUUUGGUAUAACGGCAGGAAAAUGAGAAUCCCAGAUUUCACUCAUUUUCAUGCAUUCAUUUCACUCCCUCAGAUUGCAAAAUCAGUUAAGAGGAAAAUUGUAAGCAACCUCAAAUGGCCAACAAAAAAAGACUGGUUAAAUCAUUGCACUGCAAAUGACAGAAAGCUUGAUGACAUUCAGAGGUAUAUUUUAGAUGACUGGCAAAAUUCUUUAUCCUGACUGUGGUGGUAGGUACAUGACUGCAUGCGUUUGUCAAAUCUAACAGAACUGUACAUUAAUGUGUAAACUGUGUCCUAACUUUAAAAAAUUGAAGUAUAGUUGAUUUACGAUGUUGUGUUAGUUUCAGGUGUAUAGCAAAGUGAUUCGGUUAUGCAUACAUAUAUAUCUAUUUUUUUUUCAGAUUCUUUUCCCUUAUAGGUUAUUACAAAAUGAUUAAGUAUAGUUCCCUGUGCUAUACAGUAGGUCCUUGUUGGUUAUCUAUUUUAUCAACAUAUACCUAAUUUUUUUAAUGGGGAAAAAAACUUCAAAAAAUACCAAGUUACACACAAGUAUAUAGAGUGUGAGCCCCAAUUCAAACAAGGGAAGUUUGUGUUUAGUUGAAGUCUGUAUUAUCGAAAAUGUAUUAGCUUGUAUCUGAAAAAUUCUAAAUAUGACUGAUAUUAAUCCAAGUGAUACAAUUUUCAUAAAAUGAGUCUUACAUGAAAUAUUUUUGAAAAGUGAAAUUCAAUUUUCACUCUCAAAUUUGUAAAACAAAAACAUGUAUGUCUAUAUGUGAAAACAUU
Orcinus orca (killer whale) is the source of this 2312-nucleotide long non-coding RNA. RefSeq lists it as uncharacterized. Lineage: Eukaryota; Metazoa; Chordata; Mammalia; Artiodactyla; Delphinidae. The record is from RefSeq and is a predicted model, not a curated record. The transcript is spliced from 2 exons.